RNAcentral lists this transfer RNA (93 nucleotides) under Thermus aquaticus. RNAcentral's name for it is "tRNA-Gly". Lineage: Bacteria; Thermotogati; Deinococcota; Deinococci; Thermales; Thermaceae. The record is from RNAcentral.
AAGUAGUGGAGGUCCUGGAAACCUCGGUCUACGCCGAAGACCUGGAGAAGGCCCGGGCCUUCUACGAGGGGGUCCUGGGCCUUCCCUGUUUUC